AACGCACAUUGCGCCCGCCAGUAUUCUGGCGGGCAUGCCUGUUCGAGCGUCAUUUCAACCAUCAAGCCCUAGGCUUGUGUUGGGGACCUGCAGCUGCUGCAGCCCCCUAAAAGCAGUGGCGGACUCGCUGUCAUUCCGAGCGCAGUAGUUACAUCUCGCUCUGGGUAUGGCGGCGUGCACUUGCCGUGAAACACUUUCUAAGGUUGACCUCGGAUCAGGUAGGAAUACCCGCUGAACUUAA
Molecule: unclassified non-coding RNA, 241 nt
Filed under: uncultured Ascomycota
Lineage: Eukaryota; Fungi; Ascomycota
Description: sequence contains 5.8S rRNA gene, ITS2, 28S rRNA gene
Rfam family: 5.8S ribosomal RNA (bases 1-52)
Source: RNAcentral